ACUCCUACGGGAGGCAGCAGUAAGGAAUAUUGCGCAAUGGACGAAAGUCUGACGCAGCGACGCCGCGUGAGCGAUGAAGGCCUUCGGGUCGUAAAGCUCUGUGGGGAGAGACGAAUAAGGUAUGGCUAAUAUCCAGUGCGAUGACGGUAUCUCCUUAGCAAGCACCGGCUAACUCUGUGCCAGCAGCCGCGGUAAU
This 196-nucleotide ribosomal RNA is filed under the name uncultured bacterium. RNAcentral describes it as "partial 16S ribosomal RNA". It matches the Rfam family "Bacterial small subunit ribosomal RNA", at positions 335 to 524 of the family's 1533-position model. The record is from RNAcentral.